Molecule: ribosomal RNA, 463 nt
Filed under: Selenomonas sp. oral taxon 149
Lineage: Bacteria; Bacillati; Bacillota; Negativicutes; Selenomonadales; Selenomonadaceae
Description: bacterial SSU rRNA
Rfam family: Bacterial small subunit ribosomal RNA
Source: RNAcentral
GACGAACGCUGGCGGCGUGCUUAACACAUGCAAGUCGAACGGAGCGAAUGAAAGCUUGCUUUUAUGAGCUUAGUGGCAAACGGGUGAGUAACACGUAGACAACCUGCCGACAGGAUGGGGACAACAUUCCGAAAGGAAUGCUAAUACCGAAUGAAGUCGAGGGAAGGCAUCUUCCUUCGAUGAAAGAUGGCCUCUAUUUAUAAGCUAUCACCUGUCGAUGGGUCUGCGUCUGAUUAGCUGGUUGGUGAGGUAACGGCUCACCAAGGCGACGAUCAGUAGCCGGUCUGAGAGGAUGAACGGCCACAUUGGGACUGAGACACGGCCCAGACUCCUACGGGAGGCAGCAGUGGGGAAUCUUCCGCAAUGGGCGCAAGCCUGACGGAGCAACGCCGCGUGAGUGAAGAAGGUCUUCGGAUCGUAAAGCUCUGUUGACGGGGACGAAUGUACGGAGUGCGAAUAGUGC